Molecule: non-coding RNA, 95 nt
Organism: Mycena metata
Lineage: Eukaryota; Fungi; Basidiomycota; Agaricomycetes; Agaricales; Mycenaceae
Source: the annotation of a GenBank genome assembly
UCGGGUGUGGUGUAUGGAGCACGACGAGGCUUCUUAGUGCUUCUAGUUUACCCAAUUGAAGCUCGCAGGACGGGGUUCAACUCCCCGCGCCCGAA